Molecule: ribosomal RNA, 991 nt
Filed under: uncultured Gammaproteobacteria bacterium
Lineage: Bacteria; Pseudomonadati; Pseudomonadota; Gammaproteobacteria
Description: bacterial SSU rRNA
Rfam family: Bacterial small subunit ribosomal RNA
Source: RNAcentral
GUGCCAGCCGCCGCGGUAAUACGGAGGGUGCGAGCGUUAAUCGGAAUUACUGGGCGUAAAGCGCACGCAGGCGGUUUGUUAAGCUAGAUGUGAAAGCCCCGGGCUCAACCUGGGAUGGUCAUUUAGAACUGGCAGACUAGAGUCUUGGAGAGGGGAGUGGAAUUCCAGGUGUAGCGGUGAAAUGCGUAGAUAUCUGGAGGAACAUCAGUGGCGAAGGCGACUCCCUGGCCAAAGACUGACGCUCAUGUGCGAAAGUGUGGGUAGCGAACAGGAUUAGAUACCCUGGUAGUCCACACCGUAAACGCUGUCUACUAGCUGUGUGUGUCUUUAAGACGUGCGUAGCGAAGCUAACGCGCUAAGUAGACCGCCUGGGGAGUACGGCCGCAAGGUUAAAACUCAAAUGAAUUGACGGGGGCCCGCACAAGCGGUGGAGCAUGUGGUUUAAUUCGAUGCAACGCGAAGAACCUACCUACACUUGACAUGCAGAGACCUUCCAGAGAUGGAUUGGUGCUUCGGAACUCUGACACAGGUGCUGCAUGCCUGUCGUCAGCUCGUGUCGUGAGAUGUUGGGUUAAGUCCCGCAACGAGCGCAACCCUUGUCCUUAGUUGCCAGCCUUAAGUUGGGCACUCUAAGGAGACUGCCGGUGACAAACCGGAGGAAGGUGGGGACGACGUCAAGUCAUCAUGGCCCUUACGUGUAGGGCUACACACGUGCUACAAUGGCAUUUACAGAGGGAAGCGAGACAGUGAUGUGGAGCGGACCCCUUAAAGAAUGUCGUAGUCCGGAUUGGAGUCUGCAACUCGACUCCAUGAAGUCGGAAUCGCUAGUAAUCGCAGGUCAGAAUACUGCGGUGAAUACGUUCCCGGGCCUUGUACACACCGCCCGUCACACCAUGGGAGUGGGAUGCAAAAGAAGUAGUUAGUCUAACCUUCGGGAGGACGAUUACCACUUUGUGUUUCAUGACUGGGGUGAAGUCGUAACAAGGUAACC